UGAAGGAGGCAGAGUUGACUGGUUAUACUGGGACAGAGGGGCAGAGUGGACUGGUUAUACUGGGACCAGAGGGGCAGAGUGGACUGGUUUUACUGGGGAACAGAGAGGCCGAGUGGACUGGUUAUACUGGGACAGAGAGGCAGAGUGGACUGGUUUUACUGGGACAGAGAGGCAGAGUGGACUGGUUAAAUUAUGCUUUGAGGAUGAACGAGAAGAGGAGUUGAACCUGGAGCACAUUGUGAUGAAGGACCUCGGGACAAGACUGGCAGGAUGCCGUUCAGACAGACCCGUGUUAGAUUUGACAGUGCCAUUAGGAGUCCAGUCCCUCAGACAGACGGGGAGAGCCCCCUCACCUCCGUCCUGCUCCACCUCCUCCAGCAAUGAACCCCCUGUCAAACAGAAGGCUGAGCAGAGUCGCGGCCAGGCGCCACCACAUCCGCCCCUGGUUCCUUUGGUUUCGAUGAUACUGGAGCAACAAAUGAAGACAAAAACAUACAGGU
Molecule: long non-coding RNA, 500 nt
Organism: Sebastes umbrosus (honeycomb rockfish)
Lineage: Eukaryota; Metazoa; Chordata; Actinopteri; Perciformes; Sebastidae
Exons: 2
Source: RefSeq, a predicted model, not a curated record